Molecule: ribosomal RNA, 484 nt
Filed under: uncultured bacterium
Lineage: Bacteria
Description: partial 16S ribosomal RNA
Rfam family: Bacterial small subunit ribosomal RNA
Source: RNAcentral
AUUGAACGCUGGCGGCAGGCCUAACACAUGCAAGUCGAGCGGAUGAAGGGAGCUUGCUCCUGGAUUCAGCGGCGGACGGGUGAGUAAUGCCUAGGAAUCUGCCUGGUAGUGGGGGAUAACGUCCGGAAACGGGCGCUAAUACCGCAUACGUCCUGAGGGAGCAAGUGGGGGGUCUUCGGACCUCACGCUAUCAGAUGAGCCUAGGUCGGAUUAGCUAGUUGGUGGGGUAAAGGCCUACUAAGGCGACGAUCCGUAACUGGUCUGAGAGGAUGAUCAGUCACACUGGAGCGGAGACACGGUCCAGACUACUACGGGAGGCAGCAGUGGGGAAUAUUGGACAGUGGGCGAAAGCCUGAUCCAGCCAUGCCGCGUGUGUGAAGAAGGUCUUCGGAUUGUAAAGCACUUUAAGUUGGGAGGAAGGGCAGUAAGUUAAUACCUUGCUGUUUUGACGUUACCAACAGAAUAAGCACCGGCUAACUUCGUG